AACGAACGCUGGCGGCAUGCCUAACACAUGCAAGUCGAACGAGACCUUCGGGUCUAGUGGCGCACGGGUGUGUAACGCGUGGGAACCUGCCCUUAUGUUCGGAAUAACUCCCCGAAAGGGGUGCUAAUACCGGAUAAUGUCUUCGGACCAAAGAUUGAUCGCCUUUGGAUGGGCCCGCGUUGGAUUAGCUAGUUGGUAGUGUAAAAGCCUACCACGGCGACGAUCCAUAGCUGGGUAGAGAGAAUGAUCCGCCACACUGAGACUGGGACGCGGCCGAGACUCCUGCGGGAGGCGGCAAAGCGGGAUAUAGGAAAAUGGGGUGAAGGAUGAUGCAACUAUGCCGGGAGAGUGAUGAAGGCCUUAGGGAAGUAAAGCUCUUUUACCCGGGAUGGUAAUGACAGUACCGGAAGAAUAAGCUCCGGCUAACUCCGUG
Molecule: ribosomal RNA, 433 nt
Filed under: uncultured bacterium
Lineage: Bacteria
Description: partial 16S ribosomal RNA
Rfam family: Bacterial small subunit ribosomal RNA
Source: RNAcentral